This is a long non-coding RNA of Sinocyclocheilus anshuiensis, 545 nucleotides long. RefSeq lists it as uncharacterized. The transcript is spliced from 3 exons. The record is from RefSeq and is a predicted model, not a curated record. NCBI's taxonomy places the organism in Eukaryota, Metazoa, Chordata, Actinopteri, Cypriniformes, Cyprinidae.
GCAGAUUUUGAGCUGAUCUCCUUCAUUCUGCCACCAGCUCACCACAACCCCUGGGUGCACCAGCUGUGGAAAUUACGGGCCAAACUUUGGUUUUCACAUUGUUUGGAGGACAAAAUUGGGCAGGAUGUAGGGGCCCACAGUUUGGGCACGCAUACACAGGCCAGCUUUGGACAACCUAGGACAACAUCCUAAGAUGCACCGAUCUACCUAAAGCCCUCCAUCAUUCCCACACCCAUCUUGCAACAAAAUUUCAUUAAGUGCAGUCCAUAACCAGUGUCUGCCAUGCACGGUCUGCACCUUGUCCAUUGCAGAUGUUACGGAUUAUUCUAUUAGAGAUCUUUAUAUUCUUUAUUUGAGACUGUUAUUAUGUAGAGACUGUUAUGUUGUGAAUGAAGUCAACCCACCCCUCACAUUGAUGCUUUCAGCAGUUAUUACAUUAAAGUGUGUCCUUAAUGUUUUAUUAUUUAAAGAUUGUUUUAAAGUUUAUUACAGGCUCAGUGAAUUUUCUUUCACUAAAAAAUAAAGUGUAAUAUAAACGGUCAUAA